This is a long non-coding RNA of Ostrinia nubilalis (European corn borer), 1159 nucleotides long. RefSeq lists it as uncharacterized. The transcript is spliced from 3 exons. Lineage: Eukaryota; Metazoa; Arthropoda; Insecta; Lepidoptera; Crambidae. The record is from RefSeq and is a predicted model, not a curated record.
UACGUAAGCAUAGGGGGAGGGGGUAAGUACUUUGCUUACUUUUGAUGACAACGGGGGCGGGGGGGUAAAAAAUGGUAAGAAAUCUGCUUACGUAAUACUUGAACGGCCCCAGUGACAAGUUUUCGAACGAAGAUUUGAGUCACGGGUGAUGACCGGCGCUUUUUGGAGUGCCCUUGUCUUUUACUCUGCUGGCCGCGGUCGUGAACAGAAGUUUUGUAGUGUGUGGUGUUGUGGCAUUCUGAGUCGGCCCUAAAUGUGCCAUUCCCAACUCAAACGGGCAGGGCACGCAGAUUAUUGUUGUCGAAAUAAGGGAAUUCCGGUUGGACACCGAAAUCCCGCUGUUCGCCGAUUUUGUGGACUCACUGCCACGUGCUGAGUUUUAUUACUGUUGAAGAUUUUGGUUGGGCAGUGCUCGGUGGCGAGCUCUGCGCUGUGCCCUGCUUUAGCGGCUGUCGCCGGAUUUUUUUCCUCCGUUGAAGGUGACGAUGGUGCCUGAGAGUCGUUCCCCGACCAUGACUGGCCGAUAUGUACACUACCGAGGCCGUCCUCCGCGGUCCUGGGCUACCCUACUUCAUAGGUUGGUUCCGUUUUCUAUUGAGCUUGUCAAUUAUUUUAGUUUACUUUGAAAAAUUAGAUUACCCACAUAACGAUUACAUUUUACCAAAAAGUAAAUUCUUAAAUAAAUUUACCAUUGUGAUGUAUUAUCAAUGGAUUUUGUUGUGUUAACUAUUUUUAGUUCGCUUUGUGAAGGUCGAUGAUGUAAUAAUUACAAUGAUUACAUUUUACCAAAAUGUUAGUUCCUAAAUAAAUUUACCAUUGUGACGUAUUAUCGAUGGAUUUUAUUGUGUUUACUAUUUUUAGCUCGCUUUGUGAAGGUAGAUGAUGUAAUAAUUAUGAUGGUUACAUUUUACCAAAUGUUACCUUCUAAAUAGAUUUACCAGUGUAAUGAAUUACCGUUGGAUUUUGCUGUGUUCACAUUUGCUCCAUCCUUGAGAGCGAUGGAUUGUUUUUUUUGUGUGUCGUAGUAAUUUAACUAAGCGAACACAAGUAAAUUAAUUUCUUUGUAUUAAUAUGCCUAUUACUACCUGUUUAAGCUGUAGGGUAUUAAUGCACCAGUGGUGCACUUACUGUAUCGAUAUUUUUAUAAUAAUAUAUUUUU